GGGAACCGUGAGACAGGUGCUGCAUGGCUGUCGUCAGCUCGUGUUGUGAAAUGUUGGGUUAAGUCCCGCAACGAGCGCAACCCUUAUCCUUUGUUGCCAGCGGUCCGGCCGGGAAACUCAAAGGAGACUGCCAGUGAUAAACUGGAGGAAGGUGGGGAUGACGUCAAGUCAUCAUGGCCCUUACGACCAGGGCUACACACGUGCUACAAUGGCGCAUACAAAGAGAAGCGACCUCGCGAGAGCAAGCGGACCUCAUAAAGUGCGUCGUAGUCCGGAUUGGAGUCUGCAACUCGACUCCAUGAAGUCGGAAUCGCUAGUAAUCGUGGAUCAGAAUGCCACGGUGAAUACGUUCCCGGGCCUU
Molecule: ribosomal RNA, 361 nt
Filed under: uncultured Enterobacteriaceae bacterium
Lineage: Bacteria; Pseudomonadati; Pseudomonadota; Gammaproteobacteria; Enterobacterales; Enterobacteriaceae
Description: bacterial SSU rRNA
Rfam family: Bacterial small subunit ribosomal RNA
Source: RNAcentral